CCUUCCGGCCGCAGAUCUGCUCGCCGCCUGCUCCAGAGCUUGCACAGCGUCGCCGCACCGCCUGCACCCUGUCGGCCGCAGAUCUGCUCGCCGUCUGCUCCAGAGCCUACACCGCGUCGCCGCGCCUGUUUACUUGCUGCCGUGCUUGAGUAUCUCGCAGCCGAGGUAUUGCUUCUAUUUUCCUGCAUUUUCAAUUCUGGGUUCCGGUGUUGCUAGAUUUCUGAAUCUGAUCAUGCACUUUAGUUGAACCUAUCUUUGCUUUUCUGUUGGGACUUUUUCUGAUUUUCUGUGAGAAAUUGGCGUAGUGAAUCGGGUAUUUUUUUAGUUUUGAGCGUUGAUUGAGUUGGUUAGGGCUAACUACAGCAGUAUCCUUUAAGCAGAUUAGUGGCGUUUUUUAUAUUUAAGCAUCUGAAUUUCUUGUGUAUUUUAAGCAUCUGAAUUUAAGCAUCUGAAUAUCUGCACAGGAUGAGUAGCUUGAGUUGUAAUAAAUUUCUUGUGAUUUUAUGUUUGUUUUGGCAGAAUGCAGUUAAUGGACAAUUCAAAUCUAAUAGAAAAUACUCCUCAAGUAGAUGAGAUUAUGGUGGAAGUGAAUGAUGUGGAGAAAGAAGUUGUGGAUUGAAGAGGUGUUUGCAAAAGAAGCUUCACGUUAAGUUACAAGCUUGAAGGAAGAUUGAAUGCUUGACAUUUGUUCUAGUAUCAUCUUAUUUUGAUGUAUUUGAAACUUUUCAUGAUGUAUGUUUCUACAUGGAUAUUGUUUAUUUUACAAUAUUUUGAAUUUGUGGCUUA
This 786-nucleotide long non-coding RNA is filed under the name Salvia miltiorrhiza (redroot sage). Its description in RNAcentral is "long non-coding RNA (SMIL_LNC004603)". The record is from RNAcentral. Lineage: Eukaryota; Viridiplantae; Streptophyta; Magnoliopsida; Lamiales; Lamiaceae.